AGAGUUUGAUCAUGGCUCAGAUUGAACGCUGGCGGCAGGCCUAACACAUGCAAGUCGAGCGGUAGCACAGAGAGCUUGCUCUCGGGUGACGAGCGGCGGACGGGUGAGUAAUGUCUGGGAAACUGCCUGAUGGAGGGGGAUAACUACUGGAAACGGUAGCUAAUACCGCAUAACGUCGCAAGACCAAAGUGGGGGACCUUCGGGCCUCAUGCCAUCAGAUGUGCCCAGAUGGGAUUAGCUAGUAGGUGGGGUAACGGCUCACCUAGGCGACGAUCCCUAGCUGGUCUGAGAGGAUGACCAGCCACACUGGAACUGAGACACGGUCCAGACUCCUACGGGAGGCAGCAGUGGGGAAUAUUGCACAAUGGGCGCAAGCCUGAUGCAGCCAUGCCGCGUGUGUGAAGAAGGCCUUCGGGUUGUAAAGCACUUUCAGCGGGGAGGAAGGCGUUGAGGUUAAUAACCUUGGCGAUUGACGUUACCCGCAGAAGAAGCACCGGCUAACUCCGUGCCAGCAGCCGCGGUAAUACGGAGGGUGCAAGCGUUAAUCGGAAUUACUGGGCGUAAAGCGCACGCAGGCGGUCUGUCAAGUCGGAUGUGAAAUCCCCGGGCUCAACCUGGGAACUGCAUUCGAAACUGGCAGGCUAGAGUCUUGUAGAGGGGGGUAGAAUUCCAGGUGUAGCGGUGAAAUGCGUAGAGAUCUGGAGGAAUACCGGUGGCGAAGGCGGCCCCCUGGACAAAGACUGACGCUCAGGUGCGAAAGCGUGGGGAGCAAACAGGAUUAGAUACCCUGGUAGUCCACGCCGUAAACGAUGUCGAUUUGGAGGUUGUGCCCUUGAGGCGUGGCUUCCGGAGCUAACGCGUUAAAUCGACCGCCUGGGGAGUACGGCCGCAAGGUUAAAACUCAAAUGAAUUGACGGGGGCCCGCACAAGCGGUGGAGCAUGUGGUUUAAUUCGAUGCAACGCGAAGAACCUUACCUGGUCUUGACAUCCACAGAACUUUCCAGAGAUGGAUUGGUGCCUUCGGGAACUGUGAGACAGGUGCUGCAUGGCUGUCGUCAGCUCGUGUUGUGAAAUGUUGGGUUAAGUCCCGCAACGAGCGCAACCCUUAUCCUUUGUUGCCAGCGGU
This 1126-nucleotide ribosomal RNA is filed under the name Klebsiella pneumoniae. RNAcentral's name for it is "bacterial SSU rRNA". It matches the Rfam family "Bacterial small subunit ribosomal RNA", at positions 8 to 1125 of the family's 1533-position model. Lineage: Bacteria; Pseudomonadati; Pseudomonadota; Gammaproteobacteria; Enterobacterales; Enterobacteriaceae. The record is from RNAcentral.